Mesocricetus auratus (golden hamster) is the source of this 4072-nucleotide long non-coding RNA. RefSeq lists it as uncharacterized. The transcript has 7 exons. The record is from RefSeq and is a predicted model, not a curated record. NCBI's taxonomy places the organism in Eukaryota, Metazoa, Chordata, Mammalia, Rodentia, Cricetidae.
GCACAGUUCUCUUGACCUUACACGCAGUAGCGUGGUAAUGAGCCAGAGUUCCUCUGAGUCAAAGAUCGGGUCACAUGUCAGCCCCAAUGACAGUGUUCACUCAUCACUGUUCUUAAUGUUCAAUGAUUCUUGCUGCCCAGACCACAAGGAGACCACAUGUAACACAGGCAGUGUAUCUUCCUGGAGUUAUCAAGAGGAACUCUGCAGCUCCUUAGACACAGCUCAGAGUGUAACUUCCAGAGGCCCCUCCUCUGGGGAUACCAGGAUGGGAGACUCCAUGAUACACGAGGAAGUCAUUUAUGAGGACCUGAACAUCACACAGGAAGAGGCCGUCACACCGGAAGUAACCAAUACUCAGGAUGAGACCAUAACAGAAGAAAGGACCAGGGUCGAUGAUGUGAACAUGACUCACACUGAGGCCGUCAUAGAGGAAAAGAAUAUAAUGGAGGAGGAGGACAUGCAUCGGGAAGCAAAUAUCUCCCUGGAAGUGAGGAGGACCCAGGCAGGGCAUAAGACUCAGGAUGACAGCAUCACAGAGGAGGAGGCCAUCACCCACGGCCAGCCUGAGGUUGCCGUCCAGGCUUCCUCCCCAAUCCUGAGGCGCCACAGGUGGAAGGGGUUCAAGAAAACAAUGGUGAACUGCCUCAGACACCUCUGCUGCUGCUUGCCACCUGCCAGGAGAAGCCACGAUGCCUGUCAGAACCUGGCUCCAAAGAAACGGGAUCCUGGAGUCACCCACAGAAUCAGUUCUGAAGUGGUCAAGGCCCAGCUCCGUGGCUUAUGAGCCACGGGUUGGGGAUCGGCCUGGCUGAGGUGUGGACAAUCCCGCAGGAGAGCGAGGCCAGACAUCCAGGAGGCAGUGUGUCCACAGGCUCCUCCUGCAGAGGAAGAACAGCUGUCCACACCAGCUGAGCUCUCACCAGGCCGUCAUUCACUUUGAGAACUGGAUGCCGAACUCAACACCACUUGCCUCAGCGUGAGGGGAUGAUGGGUGUCCUGAACAUGGAAAAACUGAAACUUUCAAGAGGGGCCAGCAACCUGCUGUAGGCUCUGCCUAGUGCCAGCCACAGUGUGCUCUCUGCCGCUCGGUGGUUGCUUCUUUGUAUUUGACUUUCAACUCUUUGGAAAGACAUUUUUAACCGAAUCUGAGAAGGAAGGAGUGUCUUUUUCUACUCUGAGGUUGCACGAGCACCCCAGAACCCUAUGCUUUCCUAACCACCAUCUACAGCCCUGGGAAAGGAGAUUCCCCAGGAUCCUGUUCUGGCCUCAGCCACUGGACCAGGCUGAGCUGCUCAGACACCCCUGAGGAAGACUUCUCAGGGCACUUUGUCAUGCCUGGGAGGAAGAUCUGACUUGACAUUUUGAUAAUAGUAACAAAACUAUAUUGUUCACCUGCCCCCCAUCCACUGGAACAUGGAGGCCCUGGUGAGCUGCUCUGUCUUAAUCUGGAUCUGAAAAGAAUCACUAUUUCCUGAAGAAGGCCAUGAACAGCAAUCACUAAUACAAACAUAAAAUUGGCAUUGACUGGAGUAGAUACAGAAAUUAUAACUCAGACCUGAAACCUUGAAUCACCCACUUAAAAAGAAACGAAUCACAGAAGUAUGCUAAGGGAGCCCAUUCUGUCUCCAACCCAAGAUGGAAAUUGUCUUUCAUUCCCUGACAGUAGUGCUAAGAUGUCACAUGCACAAUUCCAUCUUAAUUUCUGACAUUUGUUUCUGUCCACAUUGUUUGGUAGGAAUAGUAUUGCCCCAACUCUUUUCUUGUGUUGGCUGUAAAGUUCACACAGAGUCUUGCCCUGUAACUGGGGAGGACUGAGUGCUCUGUGUUGUCCACGCUGGAUUUAUUUCCCUGUGGUGCUGCAGACUCAGUCCUCCUUAGGUGCACUGGAACGCUGCUAGCAUUUGUGGUUUAGUCUCGAUCUCUUCUGUCCCAGGCAGGCCGCUCUGUAGGAAAAGAUGACUUGGAGCAGUAUCUUCGUCUUCUUCUCCAACUCCCCAAGCCAGAAUUUCCGGGUCUGAACCCCUCUGCCCUGUCAAGUAGAAGCAGCUCAGGGCCAGUGUAGGGAGUUCCGGGCUGAGUGUAGCCCAUCACAAAGAACAUGCACAUUUUGAAUAUUUGAAGUCUGAGAUGUGGACACUGGCGCUGGGAGCUGUGUGAAUGAAAAGAUAAGCAGGAAUGGCAGCUUGCUGGCCUGGGAUCAGUGAGACCCUCAUGUGAAAAAUGACCUAUCUUUCUACUGAGAAUCUUUUGAAGGACUGAAAAAAAAGAGCUGUGACCAGACACCACUUUUCUUCUGAAGCUGGUGAGUUGGGACCUGGGUGGGAGGGAGGUAAAGGAAGCUGUCCCCAUCCCAUGCCAUGUCAAGGACACUCAGGUCAGUGUGCAGCAGCCCAGGUCAUCACCUGUGUAGCCAGGUAUCCUUGAAGCCCCGUUCUGAUCAGCAGCCCUCAGGUUGGGCCGGAAUGGAAGGCAGAAGACUCUCCAGUGCAUGUCCACAGCAGCAGCUGAUGACAGUAGGAAGAUGGAGCUUCAACCCCACUGCUUGAAGGUUUAGUGCCCUCGCCCCUGGGGUCUCAUUCCCUCCCAUUUGCCCUUUCUAGGCACUUUGUGGCAGAGCAAGGGUGAAGGAGUAUGCCAAUUCCAGAACUCUGGAGGCUUAGAUUGUAGACUUGCCAUAGACUCAAGGCAAGCCUGGGCUAUAUAAGGCCAGUAGUCUAGCUUUGGCGGCAGUGUGAGAUCUCUCUCUGAAAACAGAAUGUGACCAGGAGGACUAGGGAUCAGUGCGUCCAGCCUGCAGAGUGAUUCUUGGUCUUGGGUUCUUUCCCAGCACAAAUUACAACCAGGUGGAGCUUCCCUGAUAUUGGGGGUAGAGACAAGAGGAUCAGGCAGUCAAGGCCAUCUUCCAAAGCAGAGAGUUUGAGGCCAGUCUAGGAGGAAUGACACUAUGUUCAAUAAGCAAUCCCAACUCCCAAAUCUAAAUGCCCAUAUCUGAGAAAAGAAUGCCAUGGAAGCCCAUCACAACCUCAUAUUCCUGGUGAAUCAGAAUGCCUUUCCCAUGGAGACAUGAAACCAGAGCAUCCAGAGGUGAUUCACAUCUGGAAUUGGCCUGAGCAUUGAGUCAUCGCCUGUGCACUGCACUAAGGAGCUGUUCAGGAAGUACUUCCUACUGGUCAUGUGGGAGGAGUGAGGAGGGAGGCAUGGAGGGCAUGGAGACUCCCUCCUGUGCCAAUGAGAAAGGCAGAAUGCAGCUGGCUCUUGAAGCUGUGAGACACUCUGAUGUUUUGCCGCCCCCUAGUGGCCGCUCUAAGCCUGUUCCCUGUUAGGGCACCUGAUCUGAGGCAGUCCCUGCUUCAACUCAGGACAAGAUUGUGGUGGUUAGGUGGCUUUCAGAACGGGGUCGAGGCAGGCUUACCCUGCUAAACCCAUCUAACAUGCUUUUGUCCUUCCUUCUUUCAUUGCUUUUUCCCAUUUAUGAUUACAGACAAAAUAGCUUUCAGAGUUGGGCUGUCCAGAUGUCCCUGAACAAAUUUCAUAGACCCACUGCUGCUCCUGGACCUGCACUCCACAAUGGAGAUGACUGGGUUGCGAGUAAAGUCAGUAAAAUCCACACCUGGGUGAGAUUCAGAAGCACAGGAGGGCUGGGACCGUGCCUGUCUGUCCACAAUACAGUGCCUGCUUUCGUUGUGAGAUAUGAGUUCUUUCCCCAGAAAGCGAGGGGAAAUCCAGCAGGCUGGCUGAGGCUUCUUACCCCAGCACUUGAGAUGGAGACAGGUGCUUCAACCUUGCUGGACUUGAGCAAGCCUGUGUCCAAAACACAAGGUGUACAGCAUCUCAGAGUUGACAUUUGACGGAAUACAUGUGCUACAUACUUAAAGUUGGAGAAUACACAUGGAUAUAUACAAGCACACAGAUGCACAAGCACACAACUGUAAACAUAUUACAGCUUGGGGCUAUCAAAAGCCAGUGGAGAUGCCCCUGCACUAGAAGAAGACCACCUCCAUCAACUCUACUAGCACCCCCAUAUCAUUGCAUUAUGUUUGUUAAGUUGGAAAUAAAUUGUGUUGUUUAAUGA